UUCCUAAACAGAAGCAAAAAGCAAAAAACUAAAAAUAAAAUUGGGUUGCCUCCCAACAAGCGCUAUCGUUUAACGCCCCUAGCUAGGCAUAAAAGCUAGGAUAGAUCUAGGUAGUGCCAUAGUAAUAGGAUAGCUCAUUAAAACUCAUUUUGUAUUCUCUACGUUCAGCAGCAAGUUUCCUUUGAGGCAAGCAAAAGUAAUCAAAAGGGCUAAAUUUAAUGGGACAAAAGUCCCCAAGAUCAAUUUUAGGAGGUAUAGGUUCCUCCUUCGGCCCUUCGUAUUGCACAACCAGUUCAUCAUUAUAAGCAUUCUUUUGACAGAACUUUGUGAGCCUAUACUCGAGAGAAUAUCCUAGCUCAUUAUUUUGAAUAGCCAAAUCAUCAUUAAUUUCAGAAAUUCCAUCAACUAGAACAUUGGUAGGGACCUUUUUCCUAAGGUUUUGAUUGAAAGCAACAUAGUCUAGAGAUUGAAAACGCAUUAUUUCUUCUUGAUCAAAGAGGAUAGCCUCUAUGGGAGGACGGCCAGCGUCCACCCUAUAAUGCGCAAAUAUUUCUUUGGCCUCUUUUAUUCUAAAUCUGAACUCAUAAGCCAAAAAGAUAGUAGCGGCACGCUUAACAGAAGAAUGCUCUAUAUUAGAAAAUUCUAGGAAAAUCCUUUGUAUGCAAGGGUGCAAGUGCAUAAAUUGCCUUUCAAGUUCAACUAUAAGCAUGGCUAUGAUUCUCUUUUUUUAUGGCCUCUUUUUUUAGUCCGGAGUCUCAUCCCGACUUAUGGGGGAAUCAUAGUCUCCAUCAUCCUUUCCUCACUUGGGACAAUGCUCUAAUAAUGAUGAUCAUCACACUUUUAUUUACUUACAACUCAAGAUUUACAACUCAAUACUUAGAACAAUAAUAUGACUCUAUGUGAAUGCCUCCGGCGGAGUACCGGGAUAUGCAAUGAAUCAAGAGUGACAUGUAUGAAAGAAUUAUGAACGGUGGCUUUGCCACAAAUACGAUGUCAACUACAUGAUAUUGAGUGAUGAAGCGUGUCAUAGCAAACGGAAUGGUGGUAAGUUGCAUGGCAAUAUAUCUCGGAAUGGAUAUGGAAAUGCCAUGAUAGGUAGGUAUGGUGGCUGUUUUGAGGAAGGUAUAUGGUGGGUUUAUGAUACCGGCGAAAAGUGCGCGGUAUUAGAGAGGCUAGCAAUGGUGGAAGGAUGAGAGUGCGUAUAAUCCAUGGACUCAACAUUAGUCAUAAAGAACUCAUAUACUUGUUGCAAAAAUCUACAAGUUAUCAAAGCAAAGUAUUACGUGCAUGCUCCUAGGGGGAUAUAUUGGUAGGAAAAGACCAUCGCUCGUCCCCGACCGCCACUCAUAAGGAAGACAAUCAAUAAAUAAAUCAUGCUCCGACUUCAUCACAUAAAGGUUCACCAUACGUGCAUGCUACGGGAAUCACAAACUUUAACACAAGUAUUUCUCAAAUUCAAAACUACCCAACUAGCAUGACUCUAAUAUUACCAUCUUCAUAUCUCAAAACAAUUAUCAAGUAUCAAACUUCUCACAGUAUUGAACACACUCAUAAGAUUUUUUUUACUAAUCUUGAAUGCCUAUCAUAAUUAAAGCAAAUUACCACGCUGUUUUGUAGGACUCUCAAAAUAAUGUAAGUGAAGCAUGAGAUAACAAUAGUUUCUAUAAAACAUAACCACCGCCGUGCUCUAAAAGAUAUAAGUGAAGCACUGGAGCAAAAACUAUAUAGCUCAAAGGAUAUAAGUGAAGCACAUAGAGUAUUCUAACAAAUUCUGAAUCAAGUGUGUCUCUCUCAAAAGGUGUGUACAGCAAGGAUGAUUGUGGAAAACUAACAAACAAAGACUCAAAUCAUACAAUACGCUCCAAACAAAACACAUAUCAUGUGGUGAAUAAAAAUAUAGCUCCAAGUAAAUUUACCGAUGGAUGAGGACGAAAGAGGGGAUGCCUUCCGGGGCAACCCCAAGCUUUGGCUUUUUGGUGUCCUUAGAUUAUCUUGGGGUGCCAUGGGUAUCCCCAAGCUUAGGAUCUUGCCACUCCUUGUUCCAUACUCCAUAAAAUCUUUACCCAAAACUUGAAAACUUCACAACACAAAACUUAACAGAAAAUCUCGUGAGCUCCGUUAGCGAAAGAAAACAAAAGACCACUUCAAGGUACUGUAAUGAACUCAUUCUUUAUUUAUAUUGGUGUUAAACCUACUGUAUUCCAACUUAUCUAUGGUUUAUAAACUAUUUUACUAGCCAUAGAUUCAUGAAAAUAAGCAAACAACACACGAAAAACAGAAUAUGUCAAAAACAGAACAGUCUGUAGUAAUCUGUAGCUAACGCAAACUUCUGGAACUCCGAAAAAUCAGCCAAAAUAGGAAGACCUAGAAAUUUUUUUUAUUGAUCAGCAGAAAUUGGAAUCAAUAUUUUAUGACGUUCUGGUGAUUUUUAACAAUUAUUUUCGUGAACAGAAAGUUUCUGGAAUUUUUUUGCAAGAUCAAAUAACUAUCAUCCAAGAAGAUCCUAUAGGUUUAACUUGGCACAAACACUAAUUAAAACAUAAAAACACAUCUAACCAGAGGCUAGAACAAAUAUUUAUUCCUAAACAGAAGCAAAAGGCAAAAAACUAAAAAUAAAAUUGGGUUGCCUCCCAACAAGCGCUAUCGUUUAACGCCCCUAGCUAGGCAUAAAAGCUAGGAUAGAUCUAGGUAGUGCCAUAGUAAUAGGAUAGCUCAUUAAAACUCAUUUUGUAUUCUCUACGUUCAGCAGCAAGUUUCCUUUGAGGCAAGCAAAAGUAAUCAAAAGGGC
RNAcentral lists this long non-coding RNA (2788 nucleotides) under Triticum aestivum (bread wheat). RNAcentral's name for it is "long non-coding RNA (TAES_LNC000350)". The record is from RNAcentral. Lineage: Eukaryota; Viridiplantae; Streptophyta; Magnoliopsida; Poales; Poaceae.